Molecule: ribosomal RNA, 1439 nt
Filed under: uncultured bacterium
Lineage: Bacteria
Description: bacterial SSU rRNA
Rfam family: Bacterial small subunit ribosomal RNA
Source: RNAcentral
AGGGUUUGAUCAUGGCUCAGAACGUACGCUGGCGGCACGCCUAACACAUGCAAGUCGAACGAAGUAGCAAUACUUAGUGGCAGACGGGUGAGUAACAUGUGGGUAUCUGCCCUUUGGCCUGGAAUAACACGAGGAAACUUGUGCUAAUACCGGAUAAGUCUUUACGGAGAAAGCUUUAUGCACCAUUGGAUGAGCCCGCACUUGAUUAGUUUGUUGGUGGGGUAAUGGCCUACCAAGACUGUGAUCAAUAGCUGAUUUGAGAGGAUGAUCAGCCACAUUGGGACUGAGACACGGCCCAAACUCCUACGGGAGGCAGCAGUGGGGAAUCUUGCACAAUGGAGGAAACUCUGAUGCAGCGAUGCCGCGUGAGUGAAGAAGGCCCUUGGGUUGUAAAGCUCUUUCGUCGGGGAAGAAAAUGACUGUACCCGAAUAAGAAGGUCCGGCUAACUUCGUGCCAGCAGCCGCGGUAAUACGAAGGGACCUAGCGUAGUUCGGAAUUACUGGGCUUAAAGAGUUCGUAGGUGGUUGAAAAAGUUAGUGGUGAAAUCCCAGAGCUUAACUCUGGAACUGCCAUUAAAACUUUUCAGCUAGAGUAUGAUAGAGGAAAGCAGAAUUUCUAGUGUAGAGGUGAAAUUCGUAGAUAUUAGAAAGAAUACCAAUUGCGAAGGCAGCUUUCUGGAUCAUUACUGACACUGAGGAACGAAAGCAUGGGUAGCGAAGAGGAUUAGAUACCCUCGUAGUCCAUGCCGUAAACGAUGUGUGUUAGACGUUGGAAAUUUAUUUUCAGUGUCGCAGCGAAAGCGAUAAACACACCGCCUGGGGAGUACGACCGCAAGGUUAAAACUCAAAUGAAUUGACGGGGACCCGCACAAGUAGUGGAGCAUGUGGUUUAAUUCGAAGAUACGCGCAGAACCUUACCAACACUUGACAUGUUCGUCGCGACUCUAAGAGAUUGGAGUUUUCGGUUCGGCCGGACGAAACACAGGUGCUGCAUGGCUGUCGUCAGCUCGUGUCGUGAGAUGUUGGGUUAAGUCCCGCAACGAGCGCAACCCUCACUUUUAGUUGCCAUCAUUAAGUUGGGCACUCUGAAAGAACUGCCAGUGAUAAGCUGGAGGAAGGUGGGGAUGACGUCAAGUCCUCAUGGCCCUUACGUGUUGGGCUACACACGUGCUACAAUGGUAUCUACAACAGGAAGCAAGACUGCGAGGUCAAGCAAAUCCUUAAAAGAUACCUCAGUUCGGAUUGCACUCUGCAACUCGAGUGCAUGAAGCUGGAAUUACUAGUAAUCGUGGAUCAGCGUGCCACGGUGAAUGCGUUCCCGGGUCUUGUACACACCGCCCGUCACACCAUGGGAGUUGGUUCUACCUUAAGGCAAGGUUUAAAACCCUUGACCACGGUAUAGUCAGCGACUGGGGUGAAGUCAUAACAAGGUAGCCGUA